UACGUAUGGUGCAAGCGUUAUCCGGAUUUACUGGGUGUAAAGGGAGCGCAGGCGGUACGGCAAGUCUGAUGUGAAAGCCCGGGGCUCAACCCCGGUACUACAUUGGAAACUGUCGGACUAGAGUGUCGGAGGGGUAAGUGGAAUUCCUAGUGUAGCGGUGAAAUGCGUAGAUAUUAGGAGGAACACCAGUGGCGAAGGCGGCUUACUGGACGAUUACUGACGCUGAGGCUCGAAAGCGUGGGGAGCAAACAGG
Molecule: ribosomal RNA, 253 nt
Filed under: Roseburia intestinalis L1-82
Lineage: Bacteria; Bacillati; Bacillota; Clostridia; Lachnospirales; Lachnospiraceae
Description: partial 16S ribosomal RNA
Rfam family: Bacterial small subunit ribosomal RNA
Source: RNAcentral